GGGUGCGUAAUUGGAAAGACUGCCAAAUAAAUUAGACAUGCAUUUAACAGGGAUCAGGAAUUCAGUUUGGAUGUUUUAAAACCAAUUUGUUUGAAGCCAUAAGAUGGAAUUUUGUCAAAAAGAAAAAAGAAAGGAGGUAACCGUAAACAGAAAGCGGUGAAUGUUUGUUUGUUUGUUUUCAUCCAUUUGGACCACUUCUGAAGCUUGGCAAGCCACUUUGCAGGCUGUUCCACGAUCCUCUGAAGAUUUGGAAGAGGUCUGCACAAGAGACUGAAGAGAAAAUUGGAAUCAGAAAACAAAAUUAUUUUCUCUGAUAUAAAUCAAGGAGAGGUGUAUCUGCUGGAGCAAAGCAACUUUUGUCAAUACAAGCAAUACGGUCAAGAAACAAUCCUUUGGUAUCUGUUAGAAAAUGUCAAAGGCUACGCUCUUUCUUAAAAUUAAUUGCUACACUAUAAAAUGAUGAUUACACAAUACAAAAAUACUGAUGUAGGUGUAAAGAUUUAUGCUUGUACGUAUUUGCUUAUUCUGCUGUCAGACUUCCUCAGCACCUGUUUUGAUGUACAAUUAAAAUAAACUGUUGAAAGAAAUUAAAA
Molecule: long non-coding RNA, 593 nt
Organism: Pantherophis guttatus
Lineage: Eukaryota; Metazoa; Chordata; Lepidosauria; Squamata; Colubridae
Source: RefSeq, a predicted model, not a curated record